This is a long non-coding RNA of Sapajus apella (tufted capuchin), 111 nucleotides long. RefSeq lists it as uncharacterized. NCBI's taxonomy places the organism in Eukaryota, Metazoa, Chordata, Mammalia, Primates, Cebidae. The record is from RefSeq and is a predicted model, not a curated record. The transcript is spliced from 3 exons.
GUGCUGGUUAGGGUGCAGAGAAAACGGAACAUUUAUACACUUUCGUUGGAAUGUAAAUUAGUUCAGCCACUGUGGAAAGCAGAUUGGAAAUUUCUCAAAUAACUUAGAAUU